Molecule: ribosomal RNA, 459 nt
Filed under: uncultured bacterium
Lineage: Bacteria
Description: partial 16S ribosomal RNA
Rfam family: Bacterial small subunit ribosomal RNA
Source: RNAcentral
CCUACGGGGGGCAGCAGUGAGGAAUAUUGGUCAAUGGGCGUAAGCCUGAACCAGCCAAGUCGCGUGAGGGAUGAAGGUUCUAUGGAUCGUAAACCUCUUUUGUCGGGGAGCAAAAGACGCCACGCGUGGCGUUCCGAGAGUACCCGAAGAAAAAGCAUCGGCUAACUCCGUGCCAGCAGCCGCGGUAAUACGGAGGAUGCGAGCGUUAUCCGGAUUUAUUGGGUUUAAAGGGUGCGCAGGCGGAAGAUCAAGUCAGCGGUAAAAUUGAGAGGCUCAACCUCUUCGAGCCGUUGAAACUGGUUUUCUAGAGUUGGAGAGAAGUAUGCGGAAUUCGUGGUGUAGCGGUGAAAUGCAUAGAUAUCACGAAGAACUCCGAUUGCGAAGGCAGCAUACCGGCUCCAUACUGACGCUGAGGCACGAAAGCGUGGGGAUCGAACAGGAUUAGAUACCCUAGUAGUC